UGAAGCCUACGGGGCGCAGCAGUGAGGAAUAUUGGUCAAUGGGAGAGAUCCUGAACCAGCCAAGCCGCGUGAGGGAAGACGGCCCUAUGGGUUGUAACCCUCUUUUGUCGGAGAACAAAACCCGGGACGUGUCCCGGACUGCGUGUAUCCGAAGAAAAAGCAUCGGCUAACUCCGUGCCAGCAGCCGCGGAAAUACGGAGGAUGCGAGCGUUAUCCGGUUUUAUUGGGUUUAAAGGGUGCGUAGGCGG
This 248-nucleotide ribosomal RNA is filed under the name uncultured bacterium. RNAcentral's name for it is "partial 16S ribosomal RNA". It matches the Rfam family "Bacterial small subunit ribosomal RNA", at positions 333 to 578 of the family's 1533-position model. The record is from RNAcentral.